CCUACGGGAGGCUGCAGUAGGGAAUUUUCGGCAAUGGGGGGAACCCUGACCGAGCAACGCCGCGUGAACGAAGAAGUUAUUCGUAAUGUAAAGUUCUUUUAACAGGGAAGAAAGAGAAAUUUGACGGUACCUGAAGAAUAAGCUCCGGCUAACUACGUGCCACAAGCCGCGGUAAUACGUAGGGAGCGAGCGUUAUCCGGAAUUAUUGGGCGAAAAGGGUGCGUAGAUGGCAUAGUAAGUCUUUUGUAAAAAUGCUGGGCUAAACCCAGUAGGGCAAAAGAUACUGCAAAGCUAGAGUAUGACAGAGGCAAGUGGAACUACAUGUGUAGCGGUAAAAGGCGUAAAUAUAUGUAAGAACACCAGUGGCGAAGGCGGCUUGCUGGGUCGAUACUGACAUUGAGGCACGAAAGCGUGGGGAGCAAACAGGAUUAGAUACCCCUGUAGUC
This 446-nucleotide ribosomal RNA is filed under the name uncultured bacterium. Its description in RNAcentral is "partial 16S ribosomal RNA". It matches the Rfam family "Bacterial small subunit ribosomal RNA", at positions 338 to 795 of the family's 1533-position model. The record is from RNAcentral.